This 253-nucleotide ribosomal RNA is filed under the name uncultured bacterium. RNAcentral's name for it is "partial 16S ribosomal RNA". It matches the Rfam family "Bacterial small subunit ribosomal RNA", at positions 524 to 776 of the family's 1533-position model. The record is from RNAcentral.
UACGGAGGGGGCUAGCGUUGUCCGCAGUUACUGGGCGUAAAGCGCGCGUAGGCGGGUUGGUAAGUCCGCUGUGAAAGCCCGGAGCUCAACUCCGGAGGGUCGGUGGAUACUGCCAGUCUUGAAGGUGCUAGGGGGAGAUGGAAUUACCGGUGUAGCGGUGAAAUGCGUAGAUAUCGGUAGGAACACCAGUGGCGAAGGCGGUCUCCUGGGGCAUUCUUGACGCUGAGGCGCGAAAGCUGGGGGAGCGAACGGG